Non-coding RNA from Spodoptera litura, 1179 nucleotides. NCBI's taxonomy places the organism in Eukaryota, Metazoa, Arthropoda, Insecta, Lepidoptera, Noctuidae. The record is from RefSeq and is a predicted model, not a curated record.
UAUAAGUACAGAGGAAGACAGAAAAAUACUGAAUAAUGCAUGCAAAGUAUUAAAACGUUUAAAGGAAUGUUUCACUAGAGUAGUUUGAUUAGCUGAAUUGACGUCUAUAGAAAGAAAUAAGAACACUGUGGUAGAAAUGAAUGUAGGUACAUUCAUUUCUACCACAGUGUUUUGAAAAUCAUUCAUUAGAUAUUGGGAAGUCUGCAGUCAAAAUGUACAAUAGAGGUUGGUGAUACGUUGGCGACUACACCCGUUGUUCUCUAAAUAACGAUUGACUGUUACAAUUUUACUUUUCAGGUAUCACUUUGACUCAUUAAUUGAGAAUGAUGAGAAUGAGAAAACGUUGUAACCUGAUAGAUAAUGAAUGAAGCAAUCAAGCAAUGUUUGAAAUUGUAUGAAAGAAGAGGAUGUAAAAUAAGAUGGAGCGUUGUAAAUGGUCUACCUAUCCUCAUGAGACGAUAAUAACUGCACGGUUGGGGCUGAAGCUGGGCAACCUAAUGCCGACCCUCGACACUGGAGAAAUUACUAAAGUAUAAAAGUAAAGGACUCACAACAGAAUUUGUAUUCCUGCAUCAGUGUCGUCUUUGUUCAACUCGCUUGAAAGAUGAGGACCUUAAAAUCUGCAAUAGUAAUGCCUAAAUUCACGUGUGGCCUGUGCUCGAGGUCAUAUUCAAAUUACAAGCAUAUGUUGGAGCAUAUGUAUUGGCGACACGGGACAGAGAGCUUUUGGUGCAAGCAGUGCACAGUAAAGCGCUGGCGACACGCUCCGCAUCUCUGUCACGUGUUGCCGAUAGAUGUGACCGACAAUGACUUGAAUUCGGAAUCCCCGACUCAAGAAACGCGUGAAUCCGAGUAUUGCUAUUGCGGAAAGGACAUCCCGGAUUCGCCGAUGAUAGGCUGUGAUGGACCAAAUUGUAAAUUCAAUUGGUUCCAUUACUCCUGCGUCGGCGUAAUUACGGCCCCAGAAGGAGACUGGUUUUGCCCAACAUGCAUCAAAUUAAAAACAAAAAAAGGUUGAUCCAGUUGAGCUGAAGUUAUAAAAUGUGACACUGAGUUUGAAGAAAACCUCGAAGCAGGCUGUUUGAAGAAACACAGGAUGGAGAUCACCCCGGCGGUUGCAGAAAAUGUUAUAAAAUCAAGUUUAUUAUUGUUAUGUUGUAUAUCAAAACUGACAAAUUA